UUUGGUGGCGAUAGCGAAGAGGUCACACCCGUUCCCAUGCCGAACACGGAAGUUAAGCUCUUCAGCGCCGAUGGUAGUUGGGGGAUUCCCCCUGCGAGAGCAGGACAUCGCCAGGC
Molecule: ribosomal RNA, 116 nt
Filed under: Bacillus licheniformis LMG 7559
Lineage: Bacteria; Bacillati; Bacillota; Bacilli; Caryophanales; Bacillaceae
Source: RNAcentral